AUCUCCACAGGGAGUAUUGUUUUCAGGUCAGGGCAGUGAACCUGACGUGGUGAUACUCUGUAUUCAGCACAGGAUGAGUUACUAGCCUCGGCCAUCGAGCAAACUGCUGGUUGCUGAACCUUUUUCACCUGGCGAUUUGAGAUGCUGAAUUUCUGAAGCAGAAACUGGCACCGGCUACAGUAAAAUUUGGCAGAGAAAUACAGUAAUGGUCUAAUGGACACAGCAAACAAAAGCGCACACACACCAGUCUGAUGCCAAAAAACAAAU
This 267-nucleotide long non-coding RNA is filed under the name Zea mays. RNAcentral describes it as "long non-coding RNA (ZMAY_LNC003049)". The record is from RNAcentral. Lineage: Eukaryota; Viridiplantae; Streptophyta; Magnoliopsida; Poales; Poaceae.